Molecule: non-coding RNA, 698 nt
Organism: Cyanistes caeruleus (blue tit)
Lineage: Eukaryota; Metazoa; Chordata; Aves; Passeriformes; Paridae
Source: RefSeq, a predicted model, not a curated record
AUCACAGCUGCCCUCCUCUGAGUAAGGACACAAUUCAGCACAGAGCUCUGCCCCACUGCUGGCCAUGUAUGUGUCCUGGUAAAGGCAGAAGGGGAGCUCAGGGGCUGCAUGGGGCUCCGUCAUCAAACAAGUGGCCUGCAAGGGCUGUGAGUCCUCCUUAAAUGCUUCCUCCAGCCCUGACCCUGCUCUGCCAACGAGGAAAGUACUGCCAAAGGGUCAGGUGCAGACAGGAACACCUAUUUUGUCCAGUUACUCCUUUUUAUUAUGAAAGAUUGGAAUUACAGGUGGCGUCUGUGAAAAUGUCUGACACUGCUGUUGUCACUGCUGCUUCCAUUUGCUCUGCAGUCCCUCAGAGGAGGACAGCACACUCCAAAAGAGGAAGAAGACAAUGAGGAGGUGCCCUUCCAAAAUCUCCUUACCAGAACCAAGAGCAACAGCAAAGCUAAAGAUUAACAAGCAGCAGAUGCAGAGAAGAAGGCAGAUGGAGAAUGAAUGUAGCAGGAAGCAAAUCCAAAAUAUCUCUUCAGGGAUCAUUAACAUACAGAAACCUAUUAAAAUUUCAUAGAAAACCCCAAAAAGCAACAACAACCAAAAACCAAAAACAAACUCAAAAAAAACCCAAAAAGAACAAAAAAAACCACAACAAACAAAAAAAUAAAACAAAAACCCCAUUAAAAAUAUGUCUGUGCCAAGGGAAU